RNAcentral lists this ribosomal RNA (661 nucleotides) under uncultured bacterium. RNAcentral describes it as "bacterial SSU rRNA". It matches the Rfam family "Bacterial small subunit ribosomal RNA", at positions 94 to 788 of the family's 1533-position model. The record is from RNAcentral.
AGUGGCGGACGGGUGAGUAACGCGUGAGAAUCUGCCUUGGGGUCGGGGACAACCACUGGAAACGGUGGCUAAUACCGGAUACGCCUUCGGGUAAAAGAUUUAUUGCCCUAAGAGGAGCUCGCGUCUGAUUAGCUAGUUGGUGAGGUAAGAGCUCACCAAGGCAGCGAUCAGUAGCUGGUCUGAGAGGACGAUCAGCCACACUGGGACUGAGACACGGCCCAGACUCCUACGGGAGGCAGCAGUGGGGAAUUUUCCGCAAUGGGCGAAAGCCUGACGGAGCAAGACCGCGUGAGGGAGGAAGGCUCUUGGGUUGUAAACCUCUUUUCUCAGGGAAGAAGCUCUGACGGUACCUGAGGAAUCAGCCUCGGCUAACUCCGUGCCAGCAGCCGCGGUAAUACGGAGGAGGCAAGCGUUAUCCGGAAUUAUUGGGCGUAAAGCGUCCGCAGGUGGCGAUUCAAGUCUGCUGUCAAAGCACGGGGCUUAACUCCGUAAAGGCAGUGGAAACUGAAUAGCUAGAGUGCCGUAGGGGUAGAGGGAAUUCCCGGUGUAGCGGUGAAAUGCGUAGAGAUCGGGAAGAACAUCGGUGGCGAAAGCGCUCUACUGGACGGCAACUGACACUCAGGGACGAAAGCUAGGGGGAGCGAAUGGGAUUAGAUACCCC